CCUACGGGAGGCAGCAGUGAGGAAUAUUGGUCAAUGGGCGGGAGCCUGAACCAGCCAAGUCGCGUGAAGGAAGAAGGUACUUAGUAUUGUAAACUUCUUUUGUACGAGGGUAAACGCAGAUACGCGUAUCUGUCUGAAAGUAUCGUACGAAUAAGGAUCGGCUAACUCCGUGCCAGCAGCCGCGGUAAUACGGAGGAUUCAAGCGUUAUCCGGAUUUAUUGGGUUUAAAGGGUGCGUAGGCGGUCGGAUAAGUUAGAGGUGAAAUCCCGAGGCUCAACUUCGGAAUUGCCUCUGAUACUGUUCGGAUAGAGAGUAGUUGCAGUAGGCGGAAUGUAUGGUGUAGCGGUGAAAUGCUUAGAGAUCAUACAGAACACCGAUUGCGAAGGCAGCUUACCAAGGUACUUCUGACGUUGAGGCACGAAAGCGUGGGGAGCAAACAGGAUUAGAUACCCUUGUAGUC
This 460-nucleotide ribosomal RNA is filed under the name uncultured bacterium. Its description in RNAcentral is "partial 16S ribosomal RNA". It matches the Rfam family "Bacterial small subunit ribosomal RNA", at positions 338 to 795 of the family's 1533-position model. The record is from RNAcentral.